Molecule: ribosomal RNA, 465 nt
Filed under: uncultured bacterium
Lineage: Bacteria
Description: partial 16S ribosomal RNA
Rfam family: Bacterial small subunit ribosomal RNA
Source: RNAcentral
CUACGGGUCGCUGCAGUGGGGAAUAUUGGACAAUGGGGGAAACCCUGAUCCAGCAAUGCCGCGUGUGUGAAGAAGGCCUGCGGGUUGUAAAGCACUUUCGGUUGGGAGGACUGCUUCUAGCACUAAUAUUGUUGGAAGUUGACGUUACCUUCAGAAGAAGCACCGGCUAACUCCGUGCCAGCAGCCGCGGUAAUACGGAGGGUGCAAGCGUCUAUCGGAAUUACUGGGCGUAAAGCGCGCGUAGGCGGCUAGAUCAGUCGGGUGUGAAAGCCCCGGGCUUAACCUGGGAACUGCAUCCGAUACUGUCUAGCUUGAGUACAGGAGAGGAGAGUGGAAUUCCACAUGUAGCGGUGAAAUGCGUAGAUAUGUGGAGGAACACCAAUGGCGAAGGCAGCUCUCUGGCCUGAUACUGACGCUGAGGUGCGAAAGCGUGGGGAGCAAACAGGAUUAGAUACCCUCGUAGUC